This 839-nucleotide ribosomal RNA is filed under the name Alternaria sp. KL-2008a. Its description in RNAcentral is "SSU rRNA". It matches the Rfam family "Eukaryotic small subunit ribosomal RNA", at positions 98 to 946 of the family's 1831-position model. Lineage: Eukaryota; Fungi; Ascomycota; Dothideomycetes; Pleosporales; Pleosporaceae. The record is from RNAcentral.
UCAUUAAAUCAGUUAUCGUUUAUUUGAUAGUACCUUACUACAUGGAUAACCGUGGUAAUUCUAGAGCUAAUACAUGCUAAAAACCCCAACUUCGGGAGGGGUGUAUUUAUUAGAUAAAAAACCAAUGCCCUUCGGGGCUCUUUGGUGAUUCAUGAUAACUUCUCAGAUCGCAUGGCCUUGCGCCGGCGACGGUUCAUUCAAAUUUCUGCCCUAUCAACUUUCGAUGGUAAGGUAUUGGCUUACCAUGGUUUCAACGGGUAACGGGGAAUUAGGGUUCGAUUCCGGAGAGGGAGCCUGAGAAACGGCUACCACAUCCAAGGAAGGCAGCAGGCGCGCAAAUUACCCAAUCCCGACACGGGGAGGUAGUGACAAUAAAUACUGAUACAGGGCUCUUUUGGGUCUUGUAAUUGGAAUGAGUACAAUUUAAACCUCUUAACGAGGAACAAUUGGAGGGCAAGUCUGGUGCCAGCAGCCGCGGUAAUUCCAGCUCCAAUAGCGUAUAUUAAAGUUGUUGCAGUUAAAAAGCUCGUAGUUGAACCUUUGGCCUGGCUGGCAGGUCCGCCUCACCGCGUGCACUUGUCCGGCCGGGCCUUCUUUUCUGGAGAACCGCAUGCCCUUCACUGGGUGUGCUGGGGACCAGGACUUUUACUUUGAAAAAAUUAGAGUGUUCAAAGCAGGCCUUUGCUCGAAUACGUUAGCAUGGAAUAAUAGAAUAGGACGUGCGGUCCUAUUUUGUUGGUUUCUAGGACCGCCGUAAUGAUUAAUAGGGACAGUCGGGGGCAUCAGUAUUCAAUUGUCAGAGGUGAAAUUCUUGGGAUUUAUUGAAGACUAACUACUGC